This 925-nucleotide unclassified non-coding RNA is filed under the name Hevea brasiliensis (rubber tree). Lineage: Eukaryota; Viridiplantae; Streptophyta; Magnoliopsida; Malpighiales; Euphorbiaceae. The record is from RNAcentral.
UUUUGGACAAAUGGUUUCAUUCUCAGGGGUAACUAGUUGAAUCCUACUUUUAUUAUUGCCUUGUGAUUUUCAUCACUUUCUUUUUUGUUUUUUUGUUAAGUUAUUUGAGUUCUUCAAAGCUGGGAUAGCAACGGGUUGGAUUUUUGCAAUAAGGGUUCAGGUAUUAUAUAAUUGGAUUUGGUACCAGUUCAGAUUUGAAGAUUUGAAGUUUAAUAUCUGUGAUGAGUUAACCUCAGCCUUGUUCCCCCUAAUAUUGCAUCUUUUAAUUUUUCAAAUUCGUAAUUGAUUCUUAGGGUUGCACAGUGAUGCUAUCUAUUUCUUCUUUUUAAUUGUUGGCAGGUAAUCAUUUACAACUAUCUAGAGGAGCCAUAAACUUCUGCUCAGCUUCCUUUUUAAUCCGUGCGCAUUACUCAGUCGAUAAUGAAAUAAGUGAAAGGAGGAUUUUGGACAAAUGAUUUCAUUAUCAGAGUUACUUUCAGGUACCCAACAAUAUCACAAGUGUCAAAUGGGUCUGCUUCUCAUUUGGCUGAUGGUAUAUUGUCUGUCAUCCAUUCCACCUUUGAUGAGAUUCAAGGCUCAGAUUAUUGUUGGUUAAAUAAGGUUAAGGAAAUAAAGAUUGGUUCAAGAAAGAUGGAACCUUUUUGGUCCUUGCCGGACAAUUCUUUGAGAAUUCUGAAAUAGUUAUCAUGCUUGAAAAGAUCAAGUCACUUCAGCAGAAAUAUCCUGAGCUGUGUUAUGGGCUUUCAUGUUGGAAGUUCUGUUGGAUUUGCCACUGUUUAAGCUUACCUUGUUCAAUUGACACUGGCGGAGUACAUUAUGUUCCCUAUUCUAUUGUCAAACAAGAGCCUUUUAGGGGUGAGAGAUUGGAACUCAAAACAGAGAAGAAAGGUGAGAUGAGAAAAGAAAAGAAUGAGAUGAGAAGAGA